Molecule: ribosomal RNA, 655 nt
Filed under: Vannella sp. COHH 72
Lineage: Eukaryota; Discosea; Flabellinia; Vannellidae
Description: SSU rRNA
Rfam family: Eukaryotic small subunit ribosomal RNA
Source: RNAcentral
AACCUGGUUGAUCCUGCCAGUAGUGAUAUGCUUGUCUCAAAGAUUAAGCCAUGCAAGUCUAAGUAUAAAUCAUUUUUACUGAUGAAACUGCGAACGGCUCAUUAAAUCAGUUAUAGUUUAUUUGAUGGUAUUGGGACUUGUCCCAACUACAUGGAUAACUGUAGUAACCUAGAGCUAAUACAUGCAAAUCAACCUAACUAGUAUUCGGAAAGGUUGGCACUUAUUAGAUAACAAACCAAUACCUUCGGGUUUUAAAUGGUGAAUCAUAAUAACUGAACAGAUCGCAUGGCCUUUGUGCCGGCGACGUUUCAUUCAAAUUUCUGCCCUAUCAACUAGAUGUUAGUAUAUAGGACUAACAUGGUUUUAACGGGUGACGGGGAAUUGGGGUUCGAUUCCGGAGAAGGAGCAUGAGAAACGGCUACUACUUCUAAGGAAAGCAGCAGGCGCGCAAAUUAUUCAAUGGAAACAAAUUUCCGAAAUAGUGACAAAAAAUAACAAUGUAUUGCACAAUGUGUGAUACAAUUGGAAUGAGUACAAUUUAAAACCCUUAACGAGUAACAAUUAGAGGGCAAGUCUGAUGCCAGCAGCCGCGGUAAUUCCAGCUCUAAUAGCGUAUAUUAAUAUUGUUGCAGUUAAAAAGCUCGUAGUUGAAACU